Molecule: long non-coding RNA, 413 nt
Filed under: Drosophila guanche
Lineage: Eukaryota; Metazoa; Arthropoda; Insecta; Diptera; Drosophilidae
Source: RNAcentral
CUUUUUGAAUGGAUCGAUCUUUGGAUGUGCGGAUCGAUCGCUGUGCUGUUGCUGCUCUUCCAAAAUGUGUUGUGGCCGAAAUGCACAAUAUAAUGUGGAUAAUUAUAACGAUAUAAUGAACUGAAGAUCUACGUCUGAAUUUGUAGAAACUGAGUAGAAAACUGAGUCGAGACGAUGACGAACCUUUGGGCCGAGACGUUGGAGACGUUUGGAUGCGACGGAACGGUGACGAGACGAGACGAGACGAGACGAUCGAGAAAUCAAAUUCAGACGCUUUAAUUUUGCUUCAAAUCGAAAUCGAUGCGAAACUUGAACUGAAACUGGAGUUCUGCUUACUUUCCUUUCCCUUCCUUUCCUUUGCUUUCUUCCUUUCUUUAAUUAAUUUCGAAUAUAUUUGCUAAAUCUUCUUUUUU